GCAUAUCAAUAAGCGGAGGAAAAGAUACUAACAAGGAUUCCUCUAGUAACUGCGAGUGAAGCGGGAAAAGCUCAAAUUUGAUAUCGUAUGAU
This 92-nucleotide ribosomal RNA is filed under the name Tricholoma matsutake. RNAcentral's name for it is "partial 28S ribosomal RNA". It matches the Rfam family "Eukaryotic large subunit ribosomal RNA", at positions 38 to 129 of the family's 3401-position model. The record is from RNAcentral. Lineage: Eukaryota; Fungi; Basidiomycota; Agaricomycetes; Agaricales; Tricholomataceae.